AGCUGGAUCAUUUGACGGUUGGGCAACUCAGAGAAAGAUGAAAAAGUCAAGCACAUGACUCUUCUCUUUGUGGCUGCAAUUAUAUCCGGGCCAAUACGAGAUCAAAUUCAUUGUUGAUGGUGAGUGGAGGAUCGAUCCCCUAAGACCAGUUGUUAAAACCGAAGGAUUCGAGAACAAUCUGCUUAU
Morus notabilis is the source of this 186-nucleotide long non-coding RNA. RefSeq lists it as uncharacterized. Lineage: Eukaryota; Viridiplantae; Streptophyta; Magnoliopsida; Rosales; Moraceae. The record is from RefSeq and is a predicted model, not a curated record. The transcript has 3 exons.